Molecule: ribosomal RNA, 441 nt
Filed under: uncultured bacterium
Lineage: Bacteria
Description: partial 16S ribosomal RNA
Rfam family: Bacterial small subunit ribosomal RNA
Source: RNAcentral
CCUACGGGUGGCUGCAGUAGGGAAUAUUGCGCAAUGGGGGAAACCCUGACGCAGCAAAGCCGCGUGAGGGAUGAAGGCCUUCGGGGUGGAAAGAUCUGUCAGUGGGGACGAAACCUGACGGAACCCACAGAGGAUGCACCGGCUAACUCCGUGCCAGCAGCCGAGGUAAGACGGAGGGUGCAAGGGUUGUCCGGAAUCAUUGGGCGUAAAGGGUUCGUAGGUGGUCCGUUAAGGCUGGGGUGAAAGGCGGAGGCACAACUUCCGUAGUGCAUUGGAAACUGGCGGGCUUGAGUGCGGUAGAGGUAGGUGGAAUGCCUGGUGUAGCGGUGAAAUGCGUAGAUAUCAGGAGGAACAUCGGUGGCGUAGGCGGUUUACUGGGCCAUGAUUGACGCUGAGGUACGAAAGCCGGGGUAGCAAAUAGGAUUAGAUACCCUAGUAGUC